GAUGAACGCUGGCGGCGUGCCUAAUACAUGCAAGUCGAGCGAACGGACGAGAAGCUUGCUUUUCUGAUGUUAGCGGCGGACGGGUGAGUAACACGUGGAUAACCUACCUAUAAGACUGGGAUAACUUCGGGAAACCGGAGCUAAUACCGGAUAAUAUUUUGAACCGCAUGGUUCAAAAGUGAAAGACGGUCUUGCUGUCACUUAUAGAUGGAUCCGCGCUGCAUUAGCUAGUUGGUAAGGUAACGGCUUACCAAGGCAACGAUGCAUAGCCGACCUGAGAGGUGGACCGCCCCCACUGGAACUGAGCCCCGGCCCAGACUCCUCCGGGAGCCAGCAGUAGGGAUUCCCGCCAAAGGGGGGAAAGCCGGCCGGAGCCCCGCCGGGUGGGUGAUGAUGGUCUUCGUGUCUUAAACCUCUGUUAUUGGGAAAAAAAAUUGGUGAAAGAAAUGGUGCCCACCUGGCCGGCACUAAACAAGAAGGCCCGGACUACCUCCGUC
This 497-nucleotide ribosomal RNA is filed under the name uncultured bacterium. RNAcentral's name for it is "partial 16S ribosomal RNA". It matches the Rfam family "Bacterial small subunit ribosomal RNA", at positions 28 to 507 of the family's 1533-position model. The record is from RNAcentral.